AGCCUUUACAAUACACGAAAGUGUGAUAAGGGAAUCCUAAGUGCUUAUGUUUUGCAUAAGCUUUUGUUAAGAGUAAAAAUCUUAUCGAAUAAGUGGUGGGUAAAACUGGUGCCAGCAGCCGCGGUAACACCAGCGCCACGAGUGGGGACCACAUUUAUUGGGCCUAAAGCGUCCGUACCCGGUUUGGUAAGUCUUCUGUGAAAUCAUUGGGCUCAACUUAAUGAGGUGCAGAGGAGACUGCUAGACUAGGAACCGGGAGGAGUUAGAGGAAUUCUGAGGGGCGCGGUAAAAUGCGAUAAUCCUCAGAGGACCACCUGUGGCGAAGGCGUCUAACUAAAACGGGUUCAACGGUGAGGGACGAAAGCUAUGGGAGCAAACCGGAUUUAAUACCCGAGUAG
Molecule: ribosomal RNA, 398 nt
Filed under: uncultured archaeon
Lineage: Archaea
Description: bacterial SSU rRNA
Rfam family: Archaeal small subunit ribosomal RNA
Source: RNAcentral